CUGACAAGAGGAGCGGUAGAGACGCGAGGCUGUGUAGGGGCUCCCGGAGCCGAAGGUCGUGGGUCUGAAAGAAGGGGGUCAUCAGGAGUUGGUGACAUUCAGGGAUGUGAUCGUGGACUUUCCUGAGGAGGAGUCGUGCCUCUUGUACCAUUCUCAGGAAGAGCUUUACAAGGAGGUCAUGCUGGAGAAUAUCCAGAACCUGCUGUCCCUAGGUCAGCUUGUAGAGCCCAACGCCUAGAACCAGAGGAAAUGGCCCCUGCCACCCUGACACCCUCAUCCCAGGAGUUGGUGACCUUCAAGGAUGUGGUUGUGGACUUCACUGAGGAGGAGUGGUGCCUCUUGGACCAUUCUCAGAAAAAGCUGUACAUAGAGGUCAUGCUGGAAAAUAUCCAGAAUCUGCUGUCCCUGGAUGUAGAGACCAAGUUUGAAGUAAAUGAGAUGCCUA
Long non-coding RNA from Trichosurus vulpecula (common brushtail), 445 nucleotides. RefSeq lists it as uncharacterized. Lineage: Eukaryota; Metazoa; Chordata; Mammalia; Diprotodontia; Phalangeridae. The record is from RefSeq and is a predicted model, not a curated record. The transcript has 5 exons.